UACGGAGGGGGCAAGCGUUAUUCGGAAUCAUUGGGCGUAAAGGGCGCGUAGGCGGCUUGGCAAGUCAAAGGUGAAAUCCCUCGGCCCAACCGAGGAACUGCCUUUGAUACUGCCUCGCUUGAGGCCGGGAGAGGGUAGCGGAAUUCCCAGUGUAGCGGUGAAAUGCGUAGAUAUUGGGAGGAACACCAGUGGCGAAGGCGGCUACCUGGACCGGUUCUGACGCUGAUGCGCGAAAGCUAGGGGAGCAAACAGG
RNAcentral lists this ribosomal RNA (253 nucleotides) under uncultured bacterium. RNAcentral's name for it is "partial 16S ribosomal RNA". It matches the Rfam family "Bacterial small subunit ribosomal RNA", at positions 524 to 776 of the family's 1533-position model. The record is from RNAcentral.